GUGCCACGUCAGGAAUUUGAGUAUGAGCAUCAGAGUCAUUUCUGAUUAAUUUUUUUUAACCUCAAGUCUAUAGUAUCAAAGUGAAGUUAUUGACGGUUCAAUGAUUUAGACUUGAGUGUAAACUGUUCUUAGCAAGUACAGUCUUUGGGCUAUCCAAGUAAGAACAUCCACAGCCAUCUUUAGUGUGACCAGCAAUCUCAUGGUGAUCUUUAGGCUGUCCAAGCAGGGCCAUACCCAGCAGCAGUGAGUGAAUUUUCAGGUGAAGGAUGCUCCAAGCAGAAGUGGAUCAUCAGGAUUGAUCAGUCCCCUGAAACGGAGGUAUUAUGAUUCUGAAAAGAUGAUUAUAUGGUUCACCCUGUAUAGUAGGUGAUGUGAUUACACAUGCAGUAGAAGACAGCAACAGUGGAAUCUCAUCUGGCCUCGGCCCGUGACAACUUCCCUGGUGUGCCACUGUGUUGACAGGAUAAGCCUAAUAUUUCAC
Long non-coding RNA from Ictalurus punctatus (channel catfish), 481 nucleotides. The record is from Ensembl. Lineage: Eukaryota; Metazoa; Chordata; Actinopteri; Siluriformes; Ictaluridae.